This 356-nucleotide ribosomal RNA is filed under the name Pandalus borealis (northern shrimp). RNAcentral's name for it is "partial 16S ribosomal RNA". It matches the Rfam family "Bacterial large subunit ribosomal RNA", at positions 1957 to 2519 of the family's 2925-position model. The record is from RNAcentral. Lineage: Eukaryota; Metazoa; Arthropoda; Malacostraca; Decapoda; Pandalidae.
UAGCAUAAUCAGUAGUCUUUUAAUUGGAGGCUGGAAUGAAUGGUUGGACAAGGGGGAAGCUGUCUCUUUUUACAAUUUUUGAAUUUUACUUUUAAGUGAAAAGGCUUAAAUAAUUUGGGGGGACGAUAAGACCCUAUAAAAUUUUACAAAAUUGGGAUUUUUUUUUGAAUUAAGGUUUAAAUUCUAUAAGUUCUUAUUUGUUUUGUUGGGGCGGCAAAGAUAAAAAUUAGUAACUGUCAUUUAAUUAGAAUAAUUAUAAUUAGUUUAAUUGAUCCUUUAUUAGAGAUUAAAAGAUUAAGUUACUUUAGGGAUAACAGCGUAAUUUUCCCUGAGAGUUCUUAUCGACGGGAGUAGUU